CAGAGUUUUCUAAACUCCCAACCCUAUGUGAACUUACCUUUGUUGCCUCGGCGGGGCCUACCCGGUACCCCUCCCUUUUGGGAGAGACUACCCUGUAGCCCGCCGGUGGAUUUUCAAACUCUUGUUAUUAUAAUGAUAUCUUGAGCGUCUUAUUUUAAUAAGUCA
This 165-nucleotide unclassified non-coding RNA is filed under the name uncultured Ascomycota. RNAcentral's name for it is "sequence contains ITS1". Lineage: Eukaryota; Fungi; Ascomycota. The record is from RNAcentral.